UGAAUUCUUAUGUCUAAGAUUCCCAGGCUCAGCCUGGGAGAAAUUUUCUCUGUUCUUUCUUUGGCUGAACUGAGACUAUCCACAGGCACCUUACACAGAUAUGGGAGGAAGAUUACAGCAGGAUUAGUGCUUCACAUGGAUCCCUCCUGACUGGAACUGCUUUGGCUGUUUCUUGUGGAAUCAUACAGCUCCCACAGCCUAGCAGGGACAGCAAGAGAUGCAAACACCACUAAAGGCAGAAGGCCAGCCAUGCCCUGAGGUCCCCAGGCUCCGCAUGAUGAGGGAGAUCCAAGCUUCAUUUGAGAGGUGGUUACAGUGUAAUUCCUGUGAGAGGUUUGUGCUCCCCCCGGCCAGAAGAGAGAAGGCACAGGUAAGGUAACCGUGUUUCUGUCCUUCUCCCAGGUGAUCAAAAUGAGGGAUUCAUCCUACCUAAACAGGAUGGACACCUAAGAACAGCUAAAAUGACUUAAUCCUUUAAGAUCAGCCUACAGUAACAAAUCAUCAUCCCAG
This is a long non-coding RNA of Passer domesticus (house sparrow), 510 nucleotides long. RefSeq lists it as uncharacterized. Lineage: Eukaryota; Metazoa; Chordata; Aves; Passeriformes; Passeridae. The record is from RefSeq and is a predicted model, not a curated record. The transcript has 2 exons.